AUAGAAAAAGUGAAUAAAGGGCGCAACAAUUUUAUUCCGAGGUACAACGAGCGACACUGGAGAAUCCUUUAGAAAUUGUCAUCCUUGAAUCGGCAAAUUUGAAAAUCAUUAGAUUUUCACGCCUAAGGUCACACUUUGGAAAUACGUUCAACGAAUUACAACAGUUACGUCAGAUUCGAUUAUACCGAGCAUUCGUAGGAGUUUCGUUUCGUCUACACCGACAGUCCAGCAUCAUGGACCACAGAUAACAUAGAGAGAGAGCAAGCUCAAUUGGUAAACCCUGAAUAUUACGAAAUACGAUCAUUGAAUAAAGUGGCUUGCUAAACCGGAAGAAAAAGUAUGAGAGAUUCUGUCAAUGAUUUCUCUGCCAAUAAAUCUUGCUCGCGCGAGUAUUCGCCAAGUUAACGUAAUUUUUUAUACGCUGCAAUCGGUAGCUUACAAACUGUCGAUCCUGCAUAUAAUAUUCGUGGGUCUUUGUCAAGGACUAUGCAAAAAUUCCCCAUUUACUACAAGUGACAGCUACGUUUGGAUCGUCACGAUGUUAAAAUCAACAAUGUAAUAGCUACGUACAACGACAGAUUCUUUAUGACUAUUGUAUCUCCGAGUGUGACAUUUUAAUGUCGUAGACUCAAAACCCCCAAUGGAUCGUUAAGGGACGACGAGAGACUUCUGUACCCGUCACAAGUUAACAGCACCGACUCGUUCGUGUCUUAUCAAAGUAUCUUUGUGAUAACUCUCGAAAACUAAAGCGAUACAAGAUUGCAAUAAUGACAGAUGGUACGAAUGAAAUUUGAAAAAAAAGUUCCUGCUAUCGAGCAGAACUCUAGCACUGACUUACUGUAUAUGUGAAUUACGCAUAUGCUAGCACAGUAUACACUGGCGGUAAAAACACUUGAUCAAAUUGAUCAUCUUGAUCAGCAAAUGAUUGGGAGUAUCGAUUAUUUCUUGGAUACGAUAAAAAAAAAGUACAAGCCCGAGUUUUUCUCCAAUAUCAAAUUUAAUUCGUACAACUGUUUUGAAUUGAAAUUGGGUCGAAGUAGGUAAAUUUACAUUUUUCAAAUAUUCAAGAAUACAUAUUGGAUCAGCGACGCGCCGACAGGAUAAUUUAUUUAUUUAAAUAAUAAUUUAUCUAAGGAUCGUGCAUCGCGCGAACCCUUCCCUUUCUUCGUGAAGAUGCCGAAGGACGUGGCUCCGCUUGUGUCGUGUCACGUGGUCGGAGAUAUCCUCAGGAGAUAGAAGUUUAAAGGAUACUAAGAGAGAGAGAGAGGGGCGAGAGGGAGAAAGAGAUUUGGACAUACGUAUCUCCUUUUCCAAAGAAUUCAAUGACGUUUGCUUUACUUUGACACUUGAUAAAAGGAACGACCAUGAAUCUACGUUCUCAGAUUACUUCGGAGCUGGAGGCUUUUAUAGUUUAAUAUUGUAAAAAAAAUAUCGUCUACGUUCAUUUAAACGUAUUCAAUGUUUUUCACGUUAUUCCUGUUUAUCCACUUUGUUUAGUUACUUGCUCUGAUCACACAGAGGCCUUAGAGGAUGAUGCAAGGGAAGGAGAUUGGAAAAAGAAAAUAAAUAAUGUGCACCAAUCCGAAGAACUGGAGUAUGUAAAACUUGGAUAUAUAUAUAUAUAUAUAUGCACAGCAGCCACAGAGAAAGCCCCUCCUAUCGGAUAUUUUCGGACUCGAGUAA
Cephus cinctus (wheat stem sawfly) is the source of this 1683-nucleotide long non-coding RNA. RefSeq lists it as uncharacterized. The transcript is spliced from 3 exons. Lineage: Eukaryota; Metazoa; Arthropoda; Insecta; Hymenoptera; Cephidae. The record is from RefSeq and is a predicted model, not a curated record.